RNAcentral lists this unclassified non-coding RNA (481 nucleotides) under Hevea brasiliensis (rubber tree). Lineage: Eukaryota; Viridiplantae; Streptophyta; Magnoliopsida; Malpighiales; Euphorbiaceae. The record is from RNAcentral.
AAAAAAAAAAAAAAAAAAGCUUCAUAUUGGUGUUUAAACAUUGGGUUCAAUAACUUGAAUCUUGCUGGGUUUAUCCAUAUUAUCAGUAUGGACAAAAUCCUUGACGUUUGCUGUUUAAGGAUCAGCCUUAAAAUUGGAUCUUUCCUGAUCAAGUUAAGGAAAAAAAAUAUUUUCGGCUAUCUUUACCAGAAAAUUUUAUUAGAGUUGUGAAUGAUUUAGAUCAAUACUGACCUGAUGAUUAAGAAUUACUUCUUACUAUCAACAUAGUAUUAAACUUUAGCAAGAGACUAAAAUCUGAUAUCAUAAUUUGUAUCAAGUUCCUGCUAAUUACAUCUGUUGGAAUAUCACGUGUGAGAACAAGUUAAAGGGCAAAUAAGUGUAGGAAAAUCAAACCAAAAUGGCUUAAGCUAUAAGCCAUUUUGGUGAUGGGGAGCCUAGUUUCAAGUCCAGUUCAGCGUGUAGCUUGCCAGUUUGAUAUUCA